RNAcentral lists this ribosomal RNA (618 nucleotides) under uncultured Actinomycetes bacterium. Its description in RNAcentral is "bacterial SSU rRNA". It matches the Rfam family "Bacterial small subunit ribosomal RNA", at positions 556 to 1177 of the family's 1533-position model. The record is from RNAcentral. Lineage: Bacteria; Bacillati; Actinomycetota; Actinomycetes.
GGGCGUAAAGAGCUCGUAGGUCGUUUGCCGCGUCGAUUGUGAAAAUCUGAGGCUCAACCUCAGACCUGCAGUCGAUACGGGCAAACUAGAGUGUGGUAGGGGAGACUGGAAUUCCUGGUGUAGCGGUGGAAUGCGCAGAUAUCAGGAGGAACACCAAUGGCGAAGGCAGGUCUCUGGGCCAUAACUGACACUGAGGAGCGAAAGUGCGGGGAGCGAACAGGAUUAGAUACCCUGGUAGUCCGCACCGUAAACGGUGGGCACUAGUUGUGGGAACCUUCCACGGUUUCCGCGACGCAGCAAACGCAUUAAGUGCCCCGCCUGGGGAGUACGAUCGCAAGGUUAAAACUCAAAGGAAUUGACGGGGCCCCGCACAAGCAGCGGAGCAUGCGGCUUAAUUCGACGCAACGCGAAGAACCUUACCAAGGCUUGACAUAUAGCGAAAAGUGGCAGAGAUGUCAUGUCCGCAAGGGCGCUAUACAGGUGGUGCAUGGUUGUCGUCAGCUCGUGUCGUGAGAUGUUGGGUUAAGUCCCGCAACGAGCGCAACCCUCGUUCUGUGUUACCAGCAUUCAGUUGGGGACUCACAGGAGACUGCCGGGGUCAACUCGGAGGAAGGUAAU